This 454-nucleotide ribosomal RNA is filed under the name uncultured bacterium. RNAcentral's name for it is "bacterial SSU rRNA". It matches the Rfam family "Bacterial small subunit ribosomal RNA", at positions 94 to 541 of the family's 1533-position model. The record is from RNAcentral.
AGUGGCGGACGGGUGAGUAACGCGUAGGAAUCUACCCAUAAGCGGGGGAUAGCCCGAGGAAACUCGGAUUAAUACCACAUAUUUUUUACGAAACAAAGGUGGCCUCUCCUUGGAUGCUGCCACUUAUGGAUGAGCCUGCGUCGGAUUAGCUUGUUGGUGGGGUAAUGGCCCACCAAGGCGAUGAUCCAUAGCUGUUCUGAGAGGAAGAUCAGCCACACUGGGACUGAGACACGGCCCAGACUCCUACGGGAGGCAGCAGUGGGGAAUAUUGGACAAUGGGCGAAAGCCUGAUCCAGCAAUGCCGCGUGUGUGAAGAAGGCCCGCGGGUCGUAAAGCACUUUCAGUGGUGAGAAAGGGUAGUGGGGUUAAUANCCCCUCUACUUGAUGUUAGCCACAAAAGAAGCACCGGCUAACUCCGUGCCAGCAGCCGCGGUAAUACGGAGGGUGCGAGCGU